This is a long non-coding RNA of Zingiber officinale, 1175 nucleotides long. RefSeq lists it as uncharacterized. The record is from RefSeq and is a predicted model, not a curated record. The transcript has 3 exons. NCBI's taxonomy places the organism in Eukaryota, Viridiplantae, Streptophyta, Magnoliopsida, Zingiberales, Zingiberaceae.
CGUGCCCUAGCUUUUCCCUGCCUCGCCGAACUUCCUUUUACCCGAGCCCUCUCCUCUCGCGACCAUCUUCUCCCCAAAUCCACCGCCGGCUCUCCUCUUCUCCGCCGAGCCAUUGCCACCGGUCUCCUUUCUUCCUUGCGCGGGAGCACCACAGCAGCCGGCGAUUUCUCUCUUCCUCACGCGAGCACCAGCUGAUCUCCCUCUCGCAAUUUUCCCGAGCCGCAAAAAUCGCCGGCCUCUCCUCCUCCUCGCACGGGCACCACAGCCGGCGGUCUUUCCCUCUCGAGCUACAGCCGCCUGCUCUCCUCCUUCCCAAGCCCUCACGCGACGCUGCCCAAAUCCAUCGCCGAGCCACAGUCGCCGACCCCUCUUCCUCACACUGACGGUGCCCUAACUGAUCCAGCGAGUAGAUUCCCGUCGACGUUGAUUGAGACGGUUGACGUGACAAGACGUGAUUUGGUUCAUACUACAAUAAAGACGGUCGAGAGAGUCGUUGACCAAGGACGCAUCAUCGACCACUCGACAGAGUGGUAGCUAGAGUUGAUGCCGCUGGUCUGUUGUGCCACAUUCGACCACUUGUGGGUAGUGGUAGCUGGAGUUGCGAACAGCAGGGACCCCCUUCGCUGUGUAGCUAGGUAGCUACUCAGUACCUACCCACUCGGUCACUUGAGAGGAGUGGCGGCCUUUGAGUGGUACAGUUGUCAUUGAUCCGGUCUCUCGAUCAUACAGGGGUCGUGGUGCAGUGAGGUGGGCGGGGUGACCAUCCGUGCAUACGCUGUUAUUAUACUUGCUUUAGCUGCUGCUGUUUUACAAAUGCUGUUAUUGCUUACCUGUUGUUGUUCACAUAUGCUGAUAUGCUUACUUAUGUUGAGAUAUACUCUCAUUGUAGGUGUUUAGUCAUUGGUUUAUUUAUUGGAAAUGUUUAUAUACCUUACAUAUUACCUCUGUAGUUAUGAGCAGUACUGUAGUAGAUUUGUACUACUUUUGACCUUCUAUUGUUAGCUUAGGAUAUGACUUCAGGUAUGGACAUUUAUUAUGGCUUUAUUUUAGUAUCUGCUACUUCCCUUAUGAGACUAUAUUUCUUUUGGCAUUCUCUAUUUAUAUGUUAUGUUUAUGCAUUAUCUUUUCUUGCCCGCUGAAUUCCAAUACUCACCACCUCGGAAACUGGUUUUCUU